This 443-nucleotide ribosomal RNA is filed under the name uncultured bacterium. RNAcentral describes it as "partial 16S ribosomal RNA". It matches the Rfam family "Bacterial small subunit ribosomal RNA", at positions 338 to 795 of the family's 1533-position model. The record is from RNAcentral.
CCUACGGGGUGCAGCAGUGGGGAAUAUUGGGCAAUGGGCGCAAGCCUGACCCAGCCACGCCGCGUGAAGGAAGAAGGCUUUCGGGUUGUAAACUUCUUUUCUCAGGGACGAAGCAAGUGACGGUACCUGAGGAAUAAGCCUCGGCUAACUACGUGCCAGCAGCCGCGGUAAUACGUAGGUGGCAAGCGUUAUCCGGAUGUACUGGGUGUAAAGGGCGUGUAGGCGGGACUGCAAGUCAGAUGUGAAAACCACGGGCUCAACCUGUGGACUGCAUUUGCCACUGUAUUUCUUGAGUACUGGAGAGGCAGGCGGAAUGCGUGGUGUAGCGGUGAAAUGCGUAGAUAUUAGGAGGAACACCGGUGGCGAAGGCGGUCUGCUGGACAGCAACUGACGCUGAGGCGCGAAAGCGUGGGGAGCAAACAGGAUUAGAUACCCUGGUAGUU